Non-coding RNA from Trichonephila inaurata madagascariensis, 77 nucleotides. NCBI's taxonomy places the organism in Eukaryota, Metazoa, Arthropoda, Arachnida, Araneae, Nephilidae. The record is from the annotation of a GenBank genome assembly.
GCCGAAAUAUAGCUCAGUUGGAAGAGCGUUAGACUGAAGAUCUAAAGCGUCCACGGGUUCCAAUCCGGGUUUCGGCA